Podospora didyma is the source of this 107-nucleotide non-coding RNA. The record is from the annotation of a GenBank genome assembly. Lineage: Eukaryota; Fungi; Ascomycota; Sordariomycetes; Sordariales; Podosporaceae.
GCGUCCAUGGUCUAGUGGUUAGGAUUCAUCCCUUCCAAUUCGACUCUAGCAAGAGUUGAGAGUUGAGUUGCCAGGAUGAGGGGGGGGUUCGAUUCCCUCUGGUCGCA